This is a long non-coding RNA of Macrobrachium nipponense, 928 nucleotides long. RefSeq lists it as uncharacterized. The record is from RefSeq and is a predicted model, not a curated record. Lineage: Eukaryota; Metazoa; Arthropoda; Malacostraca; Decapoda; Palaemonidae. The transcript is spliced from 5 exons.
UCAAAAGAAGUACAGUGUAUCGUAAUUUGGCGUUUUAUUAACAUUCUUAAGCAAUAUUACUAAAAAAUAUAAAAUACUGAUCAGUGAAACGUAAGUUAUUCCAGAAAGUAAUCCAAUUAAAAUCACUCUAUGGAACCGAAAAUUUGAGAGAGUUUGGUAUCCCGCCAGCAAUGAAAUCUGUCACACUCACUUGCUGUCUCUUCCUGUGCUGUAACUUCGUAUGCUUAUUUUUUUGUGUGGUGUGUUGCGCGGAAUGAAAACCCAUCAUGCGAUGAUGUUUGGUAGAACGGUAGAACAUUAUUCAAGGUUCUUGAGUAGCAAAAAGAAAAAAAUGUCUUGUAAAUAGGCCAGAGCCGCCAGACUAACCUACUACUGGAACCAUGCAUAGUCUAAGUGGCCUGAUUUCCAGCCGUUAUGCGAGCAGGACACAAAUUCAAGAUUCGUUCAACAGUCGAAUAACAAGCUAGGUCUAAUUACACCUUGGUGUCUGUAAUGGAAAUGGACAUAUAUUAAAAUUCAUCGUGAGUCGUCGUCCUUCAAGGAUGUUAUCAAGUUGUGACCAGCGGCUAAAAAGGUGGCGAAUGGAACAGCCAGUGGCAGUGGUGGGAAAAUUGCUUCUCUCACUCUUAACUACGGCAAGAUGUCAACUUUAUUGGAUCACACCUACUCUGCUACUAAGCUACAUUUUACUUCAUUACACUGGUUAUUCAGCAACGGGACCAACGGCUUUAUGUGACUUCCGUUACCACGUCGAUAGUGAACUUCUAUCACCAGAAAUACACACCUCUAACCCCUCAAUGGAAUGGCCAAGAAUGGAACUCUCGGCCACCGAGGUGGUAAGCCAACACCAUAUCGACCAUGCCACUGAAGCGCUUGAUAGGACAUUAUUGAAUUAUUUUACACUUUGCACUCUAAGGGCACAGGCUGC